GUGGGACCACCCUUUGAGAGUGAUUCAUUCACAGCGCCAGUCAUUGGGAUUAACCCAAUAUCGAUUCCCGGCAUAUCUAGCUUACCUCGGAGUGACGGACUUGCAGGACCAGCCACCGGGACUGAUACUCUUAUGACUCCUGGCAUUCCCCGGAUACCUGAGGAUGAUGGACCUACAGGACCAGCCGUUGUGCCUGAUGCCACUACAGUUUCUGGGACUGAUAGUUUGCCUGAAAGCGGUGUCUCCCCGCCACAGCCGAGAGGUAUGA
Molecule: long non-coding RNA, 268 nt
Organism: Asparagus officinalis (garden asparagus)
Lineage: Eukaryota; Viridiplantae; Streptophyta; Magnoliopsida; Asparagales; Asparagaceae
Exons: 4
Source: RefSeq, a predicted model, not a curated record